Molecule: ribosomal RNA, 433 nt
Filed under: uncultured bacterium
Lineage: Bacteria
Description: partial 16S ribosomal RNA
Rfam family: Bacterial small subunit ribosomal RNA
Source: RNAcentral
AACGAAAGCUGGCGGCAUGCCUAACACAUGCAAGUCGAACGAGACCUUCGGGUCUAGUGGCGCACGGGGGCGUAACGCGUGGGAACCUGCCCUUAGGUUCGGAAUAACUCCCCGAAAGGGGUGCUAAUACGGGAUAAUGUCUUCCGACCAAAGAUUUAUCGCCUUUGGAUGGGCCCGCGUUGGAUUAGCUAGUUGGUAGGGUAAAAGCCUACCAAGGCGACGAUCCAUAGCUGGUCUGAGAGGAUGAGCAGCCACACUGGGACUGAGACACGGCCCAGACUCCUACGGGAGGCAGCAGUGGGGAAUAUUGGACAAUGGGCGAAAGCCUGAUCCAGCAAUGCCGCGUGAGUGAUGAAGGCCUUAGGGUUGUAAAGCUCUUUUACCCGGGAUGAUAAUGACAGUACCGGGAGAAUAAGCUCCGGCUAACUCCGUG